CACCGGUCUGUGAAUUACUGUGACCCCGGAACCAGAGGGUCUCAAUGCUGCAGUAAUUACCGCUGAGGGAGGACUACAAGUGUCUUUCAAGUAAAGGUAAUAUGUAGUCACACCUGCAGUCAGCUGAGGGGCCGACGGAGCAGAUGGAGAAGGAGAUGGUGCCGUUGAGGAGCACGAGUCGGACCCUCUUGUGCAACGUCUGACGUGGAUGGAAAGCAACGGCUGCAUUCCUUUGUCUGGUGGACAGAGGUUUACUCUUUCUUCUGUGCUGACGUCACAGCCACCUUCUCUUCCUCUGAGCAGACAAGACAUGGCAUCACUCAUCUACCACCUGCUCCCGCACAACCAGAUGUUGCUACAUUUGGCUCUACGUACUAUACAUCCAGACUGAUUCAUCCAUGUGUGGGAGAGAGGAAUGCUUAGCGGUUACAUUUUUACAUUUUACAGUUACAUAACAUCUUGACUCAACUUGUUUUAUGCUAUACAAAAUGUGAUGUACUUAAAACAAGUACCAACAGAUUAGAUUAAUAUUCAACACUGUGUGAGUCCCUUGAGUGAAGUUUUUGUAGCCUAUUUUUUUUAUCAGUAAUAACAAGCUGCUCUCAGUGUGCUAACCUCAUCAAAAGACAACCACCCAGGAGAUACACACACACCACAGGCCCAUGAUUUCAUUUAGAAACGAGUCACUCAGUGGGCAGAUAAAAGAGAAAUAAAGGCAGUUUAUGGAAA
Molecule: long non-coding RNA, 729 nt
Organism: Notolabrus celidotus (New Zealand spotty)
Lineage: Eukaryota; Metazoa; Chordata; Actinopteri; Labriformes; Labridae
Exons: 2
Source: RefSeq, a predicted model, not a curated record